Molecule: non-coding RNA, 2045 nt
Organism: Agelaius phoeniceus (red-winged blackbird)
Lineage: Eukaryota; Metazoa; Chordata; Aves; Passeriformes; Icteridae
Source: RefSeq, a predicted model, not a curated record
UCCCGGGAAACGGCGGGCGAGUGCCCCAAGCGGGCCUUCUAAGGCCUUAUCCCAGCCUGGCGUUUCCGAACCGCCUGGGAGAAAGGUGAAGAGUAGCUAGUCAGCUCUAAAACAUGAGUACACAGGGCGUAUGCACAACAGGAACGUGCAAACCAACUCUCCCCAAAAGCAUCUCAGGCAGGCCCUAAGCAGACCCCUCUGCAAGGCAACUUGUGUUUAGACUUCAGACUUAUCAGCUGCUGAAACUGAGAAAAGAAACUGGGUAUCUUCAAGGAAAACAGACUAAUGAAUGGAUUUUGCUAUUUCCUUCCCAGCUGGGUUAAAUGUACUGCUGAAGCAGCCACGCACCAGAGUUGAGUGGACAGCUGGUGACUGAAAGGCUAUCUAUGCCAUAACUGCAAUUGCAGCUGUCAUCACCUUUGAAGCUGUUUCUCUUAGAAACCAUGAAGAUGCGUGGGAGAGGAAGUUGGCUAACAAUCAUCAUGAACAGAUGAUUCACCUGAAGAAGCAGAAAUUAUGUACAUCCAAGCUCCCAGCAUCCACAACAUCUCCCUCACUUUCUCAAAUGGUUCAUGGAAAGGAAAGCACGUAUCUGUGGCCAGUGUCCCCCACUGUGAUUAGCCUAACAGCAUUUUGUAAGUCAAGCCACUGAAGCAGUCCAGCUGGAGGACGAUGGUCCUUCUCGGAUGUCCCGGCCAGCUAUCCAGCACCGCUAGCAGUACGGAGGCACUAUCCCGAGCUCCGUGGUUCGGGACAGCACCUAAGGCAAACGCUCUGUGCUAUGACAGCAGCGUGACCUUGUGGUAGGAUGUGGCUUGGCUUAUGGCUACAGUCAGCAGAAACAAGAAGAGAGUGCUCUCCAGCUGUGGUGAAUCCAGGUUUAUUGGGUCCCACGGGAAACCAACAAAGAGAAAGAGGGAGGGCUUGCAACAGCUUACAAGGAGGGAGGGACACAGGGGAGGAGUCAGUCCUUGGACAAAUAGAGUUUUAGAGGGGAGUGGGAUACAAAAGAUUGACAUAGGGAGAACACCAAUGGGGAUAACUUGAGGGUGGGGCCCCAGCCCCCCCAGCCCCUGAGCCAAUCACUUCACGCUCUAGCUGGAAGUUUCUAGAGAGUUCUAGAGAGAAGGGUGGGAGCACCGAGUGAUGGACAGGGCACCGGGGAGGGAUUUGAGAAAGGGUACAUUGAUCUCCAAAGCAACUGGGGAGGAGUUGGGAUAACUGGCAGCACAAGGGAGGGAAGGGAGAAGCAGGGCAGAACCAUUGCAUGAUAGGGGGAACAGAACAGACACAACACAACAAGCCACCAUUCUCUGUGUCUGAGCAGAGAAUUCAUUCCCUCCCCCCUCCCCCGUUAUCAGGUUCCAAAGGUUCAGUGAACCAAGCAGACAAAGCAAAGAGAUUUCUUUUUGACCCUCCUGACUGUCUCAAGGUUGCUGAGCACCAUGACAAUUGCUGCCUUCCCUGCCAGCCCUGAAGGCCCCAGGCACCCAGCCAGGGAUGUGCUGUUGUUGACUCUCAGGGAAGCCUAACAGCCUACAGAGCUGUCUGUAAAAUCAGCAGGUUCUAAGUGGAGAACUUGGACCCAAACUGCUGCUGGACUGAGAGACUCAACACUUCCCCAUGACUAGAGGUUUGAGGGAGUCACUGUAUUCUUGUAUAUGAAUGUGAGUCUAGAUUAUGAUUGUUAUAUUGAUAUAGCAAACCACAUAUUAAGACCUGACUUGACCUGCAGAGAGUCCAGGUGAUUAGAAAUUGUAAAAUUAAUUGCAUUGCAAGUGGUGUAUUAUGGAGUUAUAAAUUGUACUACAUUGAUUCUGCUUCUAGAAAUCCUGUGCCUUACUAACUAAAAUUCCAUUCUAUACUAACCCUAGUAGACUGUGAAGAAAAUAAAGUUUUAAUUGUAACUACAGGUUAGUGUAAUCAUUGUUAUACCCAGCAUCCUUAGAAGAACCUGUCUGUCCCCUUUGUGUCAUAUGACAGAACAGAAAGCAAAUGAGCUUGAAGAACCAGAACAAACAAGUUUGUGCACUUCUAACAUUCAC